Long non-coding RNA from Helianthus annuus (common sunflower), 868 nucleotides. RefSeq lists it as uncharacterized. The record is from RefSeq and is a predicted model, not a curated record. Lineage: Eukaryota; Viridiplantae; Streptophyta; Magnoliopsida; Asterales; Asteraceae. The transcript is spliced from 3 exons.
GGCCAUUAAUGACCUGCAAGAAGAGAGAGAAACCAACGGCUAGAGAAGUACGAGGUACGUACUAGCCUCAUUAAUGGCGAAGGCCAUCUCUCCGGCUGGAAAGGGACACGUAUGUUACGACUGUCAGGACAUCAGCGGGCACUUAGGAUACCGUUGGAUCAUCCAGAAGAACCUAACUGGUUGAUACGCUUUCCGUGUAUAUAAGCUAUCCUCAUGGUCAUCCAAGGUAUGCAUUCAAUAACUCAAGCAUUUACUCGUCAUAACGCAUUAAUUCCAAACAUUCUCUAAGCCACAUUGAAUACUUGGAAACCAGGAUUCACACCAUAUAUUCCGACGACAUCAGCACGUCGGAAUAAUCUUAUAUCUCCGGCAAGUUUACUUAUUCUCACGCCGGAGCUUGGUCACGGAUCCCCCCUCCAGGGUCCUCCGUGACGAGGCUAACGGUGCUCUGUUUUGCAGGUUGAAAGAAAAGCCCAUCGGAGCGUUGACGAGUCUCAUUAAUCUCUAACCGGAGCUCGGGGAUUCGACAGUAUGUAUGAUCUUUUAGUUGAAUCUUUCACAAUCUAGGGUUUCAUCAGAGAUCUUGCAUCCAUCGACUACAACGAUCUUACAGCGGCGACUGAUAUCCAAAGAAUAGCAUAAUCUUCAAUUGAGUUUUCCUGUUUCUAUCUUUCGCCAAUCCUCACACAGUUCUUCAAUCGGUUUUGGAUUUAUAUGAUACCAUUCAAAGGUUUUAGUUUUCUAAUCCAAUUCAGACGUUUAUGCGAUGAUUUCAAUUUAUGAUUUGCCCUUGAUUCGAAUCUCGCUUUGAAAGAUUAUUUGGUUGUUCUGGAAUCGAAACAAGUUGCAAUGACAGGACGAUGGCUGC